CCUACGGGUGGCUGCAGUGGGGAAUAUUGGACAAUGGGCGAAAGCCUGAUCCAGCCAUGCCGCGUGUGUGAAGAAGGCCUUCGGGUUGUAAAGCACUUUCAGUGGGGAAGAAAGCCUUGGGGCUAAUACCCUCGAGGAAGGACAUCACCCACAGAAGAAGCACCGGCUAACUCCGUGCCAGCAGCCGCGGUAAUACGGAGGGUGCGAGCGUUAAUCGGAAUUACUGGGCGUAAAGCGCGCGUAGGCGGUCUGAUAAGCCGGUUGUGAAAGCCCCGGGCUCAACCUGGGAACGGCAUCCGGAACUGUCAGGCUAGAGUGCAGGAGAGGAAGGUAGAAUUCCCGGUGUAGCGGUGAAAUGCGUAGAGAUCGGGAGGAAUACCAGUGGAGAAGGCGGCCUUCUGGACUGACACUGACGCUGAGGUGCGAAAGCGUGGGUAGCAAACAGGAUUAGAUACCCUAGUAGUC
This 465-nucleotide ribosomal RNA is filed under the name Vreelandella stevensii. RNAcentral describes it as "partial 16S ribosomal RNA". It matches the Rfam family "Bacterial small subunit ribosomal RNA", at positions 338 to 795 of the family's 1533-position model. The record is from RNAcentral. Lineage: Bacteria; Pseudomonadati; Pseudomonadota; Gammaproteobacteria; Oceanospirillales; Halomonadaceae.